AAAGUCGUAACAAGGUUUCUGUAGGUGAACCUGCGGAAGGAUUAUUAACGUAGGGCUCUAGCCCUGCCAAGAUAGAACCCUUGCCUUUUCGAGUACUACACGUUUCCUUAGCAGGCCCGCCUGCUAAUAGGGACCUAAACACAAACCUUUUAUCAACUGUUACUGUCUAAGAAAACAAAACAAAAAUUAAAACUUUUAACAACAGAUCUCUUGGUUCUA
This 219-nucleotide unclassified non-coding RNA is filed under the name Ascomycota sp. RNAcentral describes it as "partial contains small subunit ribosomal RNA, internal transcribed spacer 1, and 5.8S ribosomal RNA". The stretch from base 1 to 47 matches the Rfam family "Eukaryotic small subunit ribosomal RNA", at positions 1785 to 1831 of the family's 1831-position model. Lineage: Eukaryota; Fungi; Ascomycota. The record is from RNAcentral.